AGUGAGACACUACAACAUGCAAUACCUGGCUGCGUUAAAGCUGUCCAUCUCCACGUUAAUUCCAUGUCCAUUCCGCAGGAUUCACUGCUCCAAGCUGCUGGCGACAAGAAGCGUUGACCAUUGCCGCAAUAAAUUGAGCUGCAUGGCUUCCAUAACCACGCCAUCACCUUGUGAAACCACCAUCAGAUAGCUCUGAUCAAAAGGUUUCCUUGACUUUACCUUCUCCGUCGUUCCCUAACAAAAUUGCAAUUUUGUUACCAUUGAAGACACGAGGCUGAACUUGAACACUUAUAUAUAUGUAUGACUUUUACCUGGAACAAAUCAACUAAAGCCACCAGCUGCCGAGUCUAUUAGACUUCUUCAAGAAGCGCAUACGAUAUUGAAUACCAAAUAGGUGCGAGACAGAUUGCGGCAGGUCCUACAUGGAAAAUCCUGAAUGUAAUCACCUUAGCAAACAUGUAAUUUGUUACGUGAAAGUUGCACGAACAUCGAACCCCCGUCGAUCGGCCAGCGUUGAGACACGUGGGAUGUCCUCUUGGAUAUCUGUAUUAAUAAAUUUGACUUUUACAACAAAGGCUGGACGUAGUAGAUGUGUGCAAUCCAUUGUUCCACGAUGAACAUAGUCUAUCAUACAGCCAUCUAAUGCAAAUAACUUACCAGGGAAAUUUUUCAAGAUAAUAUUAAUUCUGGUGAACUUGCUCGGAUGAUUUUCGUGACACCAUUCAAUUUCUUGUACGCAACUUUUACAAGCAUCUGUAGUGUAGUGGUUAUCACGGUUGUCUCACACACAACAGGUCCUCAGUUCGAUCCUGGGCAGAUGCAAAUAAUCAGAUUUUUAGUAAAACGAUGUAAGAAACCAA
Daphnia magna is the source of this 860-nucleotide long non-coding RNA. RefSeq lists it as uncharacterized. The transcript is spliced from 2 exons. Lineage: Eukaryota; Metazoa; Arthropoda; Branchiopoda; Diplostraca; Daphniidae. The record is from RefSeq and is a predicted model, not a curated record.